GAUAAACGCUGGCGGCGUGCAUAACACAUGCAAGUCGAACGAUGAAGCUUAAAAGAUUUCUUCGGAAUGAACUUAAUUGGAUUAGUGGCGGACGGGUGAGUAACGCGUGAGUAACCUGCCUUGUACAAGGGGAUAGCCGUUGGAAACGACGAAUAAUACCCUAUGACAUCAAAUAAUCGCAUGAUAAUUUGAUCAAAGAUUUAUCGGUAUAAGAUGGACUCGCGUCUGAUUAGCUAGGUGGUAGAGUAAAAGCCUACCAAGGCAACGAUCAGUAGCCGGCUUGAGAGAGUGUACGGCCACAUUGGGACUGAGACACGGCCCAGACUCCUACGGGAGGCAGCAGUGGGGAAUUUUGCACAAUGGGGGAAACCCUGAUGCAGCGACGCCGCGUGAUUUAGAAGGCCUUCGGGUUGUAAAAAUCUUUUGUAUGGGAAGAAAAUGACAGUACCAUACGAAUAAGGACCGGCUAAUUACGUG
Molecule: ribosomal RNA, 477 nt
Filed under: uncultured bacterium
Lineage: Bacteria
Description: partial 16S ribosomal RNA
Rfam family: Bacterial small subunit ribosomal RNA
Source: RNAcentral